Molecule: ribosomal RNA, 243 nt
Filed under: Triticum aestivum (bread wheat)
Lineage: Eukaryota; Viridiplantae; Streptophyta; Magnoliopsida; Poales; Poaceae
Description: partial small subunit ribosomal RNA
Source: RNAcentral
AUGGGUGCCAAGGUUGCAGCGACCGCCCUCUUCUUCCUCCUCCUCACCUUUGCUUAUGGGAAGAAGGAUACGCCAUGCGAAGGGCCGAGCCAGACCUAUCAUGCAGUCUGCGCCAACCCAGCCUGCGACGCGGCCUGCAUCACCGAGGACUACAAAGGUGGAUACUGCAGCCCAGGAAGGCUCAACACAUGCCUCUGUACUAACAAGUGUCACGACCAAACUCUUCCGCCCAACAGGGUCUGA